This 646-nucleotide ribosomal RNA is filed under the name Septorioides strobi. RNAcentral describes it as "eukaryotic LSU rRNA". It matches the Rfam family "Eukaryotic large subunit ribosomal RNA", at positions 253 to 919 of the family's 3401-position model. The record is from RNAcentral. Lineage: Eukaryota; Fungi; Ascomycota; Dothideomycetes; Botryosphaeriales; Septorioideaceae.
UCCUUCGACGAGUCGAGUUGUUUGGGAAUGCAGCUCUAAAUGGGAGGUAAAUUUCUUCUAAAGCUAAAUACCGGCCAGAGACCGAUAGCGCACAAGUAGAGUGAUCGAAAGAUGAAAAGCACUUUGGAAAGAGAGUUAAAAAGUACGUGAAAUUGUUGAAAGGGAAGCGCUUGCAACCAGACUUGCUCGCAGUUGCUCAACCCGCCUCCUGGUGGGUGUACUCUUCUGCGGUCAGGCCAGCAUCAGUUCGAGCGGUCGGAUAAAGGCGCCGGGAAUGUAGCUCCUCUCGGGGAGUGUUAUAGCCCGGCGUGGAAUGCGACCUGCUCGGACUGAGGAUCUCGCUUCGGCUAGGAUGCUGGCGUAAUGGUUGUAAGCGGCCCGUCUUGAAACACGGACCAAGGAGUCUAACAUCUAUGCGAGUGUUUGGGUGUCAAACCCAUGCGCGUAAUGAAAGUGAACGGAGGUGGGAACCCGCAAGGGCGCACCAUCGACCGAUCCUGAUGUCUUCGGAUGGAUUUGAGUAUGAGCAUAGCUGUUGGGACCCGAAAGAUGGUGAACUAUGCCUGAAUAGGGUGAAGUCAGAGGAAACUCUGAUGGAGGCUCGCAGCGGUUCUGACGUGCAAAUCGAUCGUCAAAUUUGGGUAUA